This 752-nucleotide long non-coding RNA is filed under the name Homo sapiens (human). Its description in RNAcentral is "novel transcript". The record is from RNAcentral. Lineage: Eukaryota; Metazoa; Chordata; Mammalia; Primates; Hominidae.
GGACUAUUUAAUAAUAAGGAAAAUAAGUGCAUUUGAAGCCAAUCUCUCUUAAUUCAAAGCUCAUUUCCAUAGUGACCCAUUUGGAUCAGGAGUGCCUGACAUUCGCAUCUGGGAUCCUGACACCAUUGAUAGAAAACAGCCCUCAUGCUUGCUGUGCACUAUGACUCACCGGGUAUUGUCAACAUCCUUCUUAAGCAAAAUAUUAAUGUCUUUACUCAAGACAUGUAUGGACAAGAUGCAGAAGAUUACGCUAUUUCUUGCCGUUUGACAAAAAUUCAACAACAAAUUUUGGAACAUAAAAAGAUGAUACUUAAAAAUGACAAACCAGCAACUCGUGGCAGCCAUUGAUGUUUACUCUGUCUUCAUAGUUUUACUUUUUUCAGAAGAGUCACAUAGUUGGAAUAAUACUGUGGAUAUAUUUUUGAAUAUUAAGAAAAUUAAAGCUCCAUGGCAAUUGAAGGACCUCCUGCAAAACAUCCUUCCUUGAAGCCUAGCACUGAAAUGGAAGAUCCUGCUGUGAAAGGAGCAGUACAAAGAAAGAAUGUACAGACAUUGAGAGCAGAAAAAGCCUUACCAGUGGCUUCAGAGGAAGAGCAACAAAGGCGUGAAAGAAGUGAAAAGAAGCAACCACAGCUAAUUUUAGAACAUGCACUCUGACAGAAAAGACAUCUGAGAAACAAAACAAGCAAAUUUGUUUUCCUUUUUGCACCUGCCAAAAAAAAAAAAAGAAAAGCCUCAAGAACCAGAACUGG